Molecule: non-coding RNA, 1492 nt
Organism: Myodes glareolus (Bank vole)
Lineage: Eukaryota; Metazoa; Chordata; Mammalia; Rodentia; Cricetidae
Source: RefSeq, a predicted model, not a curated record
AUGGUUCAACAGGGUUCUCUAUUUAACGAGGUCAGGUUUCCCUGGAGAACUUUGGUCUCUGCCUGGUGAUAACACCAGGCCUCCGAGAAAGUCAAGCUGACCACGUGGUCCCGAGGAGCCCUCUGCACACCGCCAUUUCCCACACAGACGGCAUCCGGGGCAGAGACAGUGAACACGGUUUUGAUGAGCCACAGCACGUGGGAAGAUGGAGGGGAGAGCAUGACGGGACAGGAUGAGCGCAGCGUGGCUAACACAUGGGAAACGUCACCAGGAAACCUGAGACUGAUCAGGAUAGACCACCACUUCCUACCACGGGUACAGGGAGCCUGCUGUUUGGGCCAGUCCACUGAUAGCGCCAUCUGGAGGCUGUCCAGCUCUGUCCGGAUGGUGUGCGACGAUGUGGCAAAUCCCAAUGGCACUCAGGGUAUGGAAACUAAGGAAGGACACCACCUUAGCUGCUUUUCUCACCAUCGAGACAACACACUGAAAAAUAACCAUGGAAGGAUUGACUUCUUCUGACUUGCAGUUGGGCCUUCCAGUCUGCCAUGACAGGGAAGCCAUCACAUGGAGAACAGGAGACGGUUGGUUACAUUGUGUCUGCAGUCAGGAAUAAGAGUGUGAUGAAUGCAAGUGCCCGGCUUGCUUUCUGCAUUCUGCUAAGUCAGAGACACCAGAACAGGGAAUAGGGCUGGGCGCUUUUAAGGUGCAUCUUCCCGCUUCAAUUAAUUUAUAAACGUUUUUGCAGACAUACCCCAAGAUUUGUCUCCAGGUGGUCCUAUCUCGUAUCAAACUGUCAACCAAUAUGAACCAUGACAGACACCAAAGGGAGCCGUGGUCAAGCCUGGAGGAUAACUCAACAUAACCACGUGCAUUCUGGAGAUGGGCCAAGUCAUCAGUGCUGGGAAAGUGGAAGCUCCAUGUGUUGAGUGGCCCCUGGCAUGCCUUUUGGCCAUGGCAGUGAUGUCGCAUGUGACUUUGGGGUGUUAAAUAGCACAUGGCUGCACUGGGGACUGUCAGAAUAACUGUAUUGAAAGAUUGGGUGGGUCCAUCAAAAAGAGAAGUAAGUUCUCCAGGACUGGACACAAGGCAAGUCAGAGAGAACAAGGAAGUUGCACAGAGGGUUGGCCCGUCCCUCCUAACACCCACUCUUGCCUUGGUAUUUCCCCAUCCGCUCAUCCCCAUCAUCUUCUGUGGGGCUGCUGGCUUGACUCAUUUGUGUAUGUGGAAAUGGACGGCGUGCAGCUCCUCCAAGGGCUGCCUGGAAGGAUGGCAGCUCGGAGAAAUCCUCCGGGGACACGUAUCUGGGGAGGUCAUCUGAUCAUCCUCUUGCAGGAGAAACAAAGUGCCUCGAGCUAAGGUUAUAUGUGUGAGGUGUUUGUAGCAAAUCUUAUUGUCAGUGUAAUGCUCUGAAAACAGAACCUUAUAGAAAGUAGACGACGAAGCAGUCUUGGGAAAAACCCCUGGAUGUGAGCAGAGAGUGUAAAGAUCUGUG